Molecule: long non-coding RNA, 277 nt
Filed under: Malus domestica (apple)
Lineage: Eukaryota; Viridiplantae; Streptophyta; Magnoliopsida; Rosales; Rosaceae
Description: long non-coding RNA (MDOM_LNC002963)
Source: RNAcentral
UUUAAAAUUUUCAAUUGCUGAUAGUUACUAAAUCUAAUUAUUGCUUCUCAUGUAAUAGUUUCAUAUAUUUGUACACUAUCUAGCUGUCUAUUUUUUGCAACUUAUAAAUUAGAUAAUGUAUAUUGAGUUCCUUUUAAAAAAACUAUUAUCUACGGGUUUUGCUUCUAUCUUAUUUACAUGUUUACUACCAAAUGUUUGAACUAAAUUUUGAAAUUCUAAAUUAAACUUUGGAUAAUAUUUAUCAGACACUUUAACUAUGCACAAGUUCACCCUUCUC